GAUGAACGCUGGCGGCGUGCUUAACACAUGCAAGUCGAACGGAAAGGCCCAAGCUUGCUUGGGUACUCGAGUGGCGAACGGGUGAGUAACACGUGGGUGAUCUGCCCUGCACUUCGGGAUAAGCCUGGGAAACUGGGUCUAAUACCGGAUAGGACGAUGGUUUGGAUGCCAUUGUGGAAAGUUUUUUCGGUGUGGGAUGAGCUCGCGGCCUAUCAGCUUGUUGGUGGGGUAAUGGCCUACCAAGGCGUCGACGGGUAGCCGGCCUGAGAGGGUGUACGGCCACAUUGGGACUGAGAAACGGCCCAGACCCCUACGGGGGGCAGCAGGGGGGAAUAUUGCACAAGGGGCGCAAGCCUGAUGCAGCGACGCCGCGGGGGGGAUGACGGCCUUCGGGUUGUAAACUCCUUUCGCUGGGGACGAAGCGUUUUUGUGGCGGUACCUGGAGAAGAAGCCCCGGCUAACUACGU
This 467-nucleotide ribosomal RNA is filed under the name uncultured bacterium. Its description in RNAcentral is "partial 16S ribosomal RNA". It matches the Rfam family "Bacterial small subunit ribosomal RNA", at positions 28 to 506 of the family's 1533-position model. The record is from RNAcentral.